Small RNA from Firmicutes bacterium CAG:56, 168 nucleotides. It matches the Rfam family "Clostridiales-1 RNA". The record is from Rfam. Lineage: Bacteria; Bacillati; Bacillota.
AGAUGCCAGGGUCAUAAGCCUGAAACCACGAUGUGCUUGCACAGGAGUGGUUUACGACUUAAUGACCCGCCCCGACAUGAGCAUAAAAGUGGAGCGUAAGCUUCACGAUAUGCGAAUGUCGGACAGAAUCGUGAGAGUACGAAGUACGGAACCAUUCGUAUGGCAUCU